AAUCCUAACCAUACUAUUCCAGUUCCUCCGGUGGCAGUUUGUGGCAAAGAUCAGGAAUAAACACACAAGGGAGCUGAAGAAGGAAUCGAAAUCAGUUUGGACAAGUCCAAAUUCUUCCGGAUUUUAAUGGAUCUUCAUGUGUUUUUGAACAGAUUUUCGAACAACCUGGAGGACACUGUGUUCACCCAAGUGGGCACCUUCCUUGCCGCGACACCACCACCACCCACACCGGCGUGACAAGGCAGGCUUCGCUUUCCGCGCCUUUGCAUGCGACAAGUUUGUCACUGUGAUUUAUGCCUGAGAGGAGAGGGUUACACCACCGAACCGACAAGCGGGUGUGGUGGGUGAAUAGUCAAAAAAGCGGGUACACACGGCCGUGCCAGUGGAGAACAAGGGGCGGCAGUCAAAAAGACAGCCGAGCAGAGGAAGCUGAGCCAGUCGGGCGCUGGCAGGCGUCAACAGGAUGCGGAGGACGAAGGAAGGGGUGGAUCGGCGUCGAAUGGCGAGUGGCGGGUGGCGGGUGGCGGAGGAGAAAACGGAUGAGCAGGCGAAGGAGCGAACGGCGGAGGGUUGCGAUUACAGUGUCAUUGGCAGCGUCGACGGCGUCACUUUGCGCACUGCCAAGUGCAGCCACCAGAACCGAAUCCAAUAUCCAAAUCACAGCCACACCACCCAGCCAACGAAACGGGGAAAGAAACGACAAGCAGGGCAGGGGCGAAUACACGCCCAACAGCUACAAUUGAAAAUUUUAUUUCAUUUUUAUGGCUUUUGGAAAUUAAAUUGUUGUCAUCGCAUACAAAAUUAACCAGAGCAGCGGGAUUUGCAUAGCCAGUCAAGAGGUGUGACCUCUAACCCCCACCAUCCAUCAUCCACCAUCUACCAUCUACCAUCUAGCAACUGGCACCCAACAGCCACACGACAUAGUCACCGAUGUUAUUGUUAUAGCCGCUGUAUCUCACCCGCUGGGCCUGCGGUCUUUAACAUUUAGCAAAACAUUUGAUUGCCAUCAGGAUAAUCCCGAGGGGAUGUCCCAGGACGCGAGGAUGUGGGCUGCCAGGAGCUGUUUGAUUGCCCGGGAGGAGUAUCACAUCUCCAUAAAGCUCACAAAGCCCGAGGCCUUAAAUAAAUGUUUAUUUUAAGCAAUAUAGUCAAGCAUUAAAAUGCAAAACUUAAAGACUGUCAACGAACUUUAACAAACGUGCACGAGCCAAAGUCAAGAGUAAAUAAGGCCUGGAAAAGAAAGCUGGGAGAAGCCACUUCGAUGGUCAGCAGCCAAAGUAAAAUCUUAGAUUUCCAACUUUAAGUUUCCCGACAGCCGGAGUCAAUUUGCAAUUAGAUGUUAUCCAAAGGCAAACGGACACCCAGGAAACGGGGAUUUGAACAAGGUCCCGCAUAAAAAACUAAACACACGCAGCAAUCAAUCGAUUAAAAAAGGGCAAAGGAGGAAAAGUUUUGAGCCGUCGGUGGGCGAUGGCACAGACCAGACUAGACGCGGAGGUGAGCGUGGACGAGGCGGACACCACCUAUGGUGUCCAGAUCGAGGUCCUGCCGGAAGGACACCCCAGGGACCCGCAGGCAGCUCAAGGAAGUCGCCUGGCUGGCUUUUGUCUAAUGCGCCGCUUAUCUUGAUAUUAUUUGGCCAUAAAAAAGGACACGGACACAUGGUCGAGGAAUGGGCACGGAUAACACUGGAAGAAACAUUUCACACAGUGAAUAAAAAAAGGUACAUUUAUUUUUGGUUAAACAUUUUUAUUCGUUGAAUUCACGCAUUUUGUUUGUCAACCUAUUUCAGAGAUCCGCGCAGCGCUCUUUUGGCUUACUGAUUAAAUGCCAAAUGUGCCAGAAUCAUAAUAUAACCGAGACAUCGAGAUGUUCUUAAAAAUCGUUGACAUUCUGCACCCAUUUUCCGGCUGUAACCCAAUCCUCCAGCCAAGUCAUUGUGCUCCUAAGGGCAAGGAAAAUUGCAACAUUUCACAUGUCACAACGAGGGCGAUUUCCCUACCACCCAAAAUAAAAUGGACCAUGUCGAAUCCUGCGGGUUCCGUUGAUUUCCUUGCCCGAAAAAAAAAAAAACCCAGCCACGCGCGUUUCAAAUCCCUUUAGUUACACUGUUUCAAAAUUAAAUAUUUACAUUUUGUAUGCGGAGGCGGAUGCGGCGGUCAUGAGGUCUGAAUCUCGAUUCACAUGUGGGUGUUUUGGCCGGAAUGGUGGUAUCUAGCUACUGGAUACACUGGACAUCUAAUCGGUCGGUGGUGGGCUGCCAGCUCCGUCAGCUGGCCGUGAGC
RNAcentral lists this long non-coding RNA (2285 nucleotides) under Drosophila melanogaster (fruit fly). RNAcentral's name for it is "long non-coding RNA:CR45484". Lineage: Eukaryota; Metazoa; Arthropoda; Insecta; Diptera; Drosophilidae. The record is from RNAcentral.